AGAGUUUGAUCCUGGCUCAGGACGAACGCUGGCGGCGUGCUUAACACAUGCAAGUCGAACGGAAAGGCCCGCCACCUUGGUGGUGGGUACUCGAGUGGCGAACGGGUGAGUAACACGUGGGUGAUCUGCCCCGCACUGUGGGAUAAGCCUGGGAAACUGGGUCUAAUACCACAUACGACCACACUGUAGACAGUGUGGUGGAAAGCUUUUGCGGUGUGGGAUGAGCCCGCGGCCUAUCAGCUUGUUGGUGGGGUAAUGGCCUACCAAGGCGGCGACGGGUAGCCGGCCUGAGAGGGUGGACGGCCACAUUGGGACUGAGACACGGCCCAGACUCCUACGGGAGGCAGCAGUGGGGAAUAUUGCACAAUGGGCGCAAGCCUGAUGCAGCGACGCCGCGUGGGGGAUGACGGCCUUCGGGUUGUAAACUCCUUUCGUAACUACGUGCCAGCAGCCGCGGUAAUACGUAGGGCGCGAGCGUUGUCCGGAAUUAUUGGGCGUAAAGAGCUUGUAGGCGGUUUGUCGCGUCUGCUGUGAAAGGCCGGGGCUUAACUCCGUGUAUUGCAGUGGGUACGGGCAGACUAGAGUGCAGUAGGGGAGACUGGAAUUCCUGGUGUAGCGGUGGAAUGCGCAGAUAUCAGGAGGAACACCGAUGGCGAAGGCAGGUCUCUGGGCUGUAACUGACGCUGAGAAGCGAAAGCAUGGGGAGCGAACAGGAUUAGAUACCCUGGUAGUCCAUGCCGUAAACGUUGGGCACUAGGUGUGGGGGACAUUCCACGUUUUCCGCGCCGUAGCUAACGCAUUAAGUGCCCCGCCUGGGGAGUACGGCCGCAAGGCUAAAACUCAAAGAAAUUGACGGGGGCCCGCACAAGCGGCGGAGCAUGCGGAUUAAUUCGAUGCAACGCGAAGAACCUUACCAAGGCUUGACAUAUACUGGACCGCAUCAGAGAUGGUGUUUCCCUUCGGGGCUGGUAUACAGGUGGUGCAUGGUUGUCGUCAGCUCGUGUCGUGAGAUGUUGGGUUAAGUCCCGCAACGAGCGCAACCCUCGUUCUAUGUUGCCAGCACGUUAUGGUGGGGACUCAUAGGAGACUGCCGGGGUCAACUCGGAGGAAGGUGGGGAUGACGUCAAAUCAUCAUGCCCCUUAUGUCUUGGGCUUCACGCAUGCUACAAUGGCCGGUACAGGGUUGGUACAGAGGGUUGCGAUACUGUGAGGUGGAGCGAAUCCCUUAAAGCCAGUCUCAGUUCGGAUUGGGGUCUGCAACUCGACCCCAUGAAGGUGGAGUCGCUAGUAAUCGCAGAUCAGCAACGCUGCGGUGAAUACGUUCUCGGGCCUUGUACACACCGCCCGUCACGUCACGAAAGUUGGUAACACCCGAAGCCCAUGGCCUAACC
This 1391-nucleotide ribosomal RNA is filed under the name human oral metagenome. RNAcentral's name for it is "bacterial SSU rRNA". It matches the Rfam family "Bacterial small subunit ribosomal RNA". The record is from RNAcentral.